Hippocampus zosterae (dwarf seahorse) is the source of this 642-nucleotide long non-coding RNA. RefSeq lists it as uncharacterized. Lineage: Eukaryota; Metazoa; Chordata; Actinopteri; Syngnathiformes; Syngnathidae. The record is from RefSeq and is a predicted model, not a curated record. The transcript has 3 exons.
AGUCGUUUAUGUCAGUGGCCACCAGGCGGCAAGGUUUUGAUUAAAAGUACAAGGUGAAGUGUGCAUUAUUUCCUCCAGAAGAGCUGGUACAACAAUUCCAGGGUGUGUGCGCAUAAUAACAUCAAGUAUGAGUUUCCAACUGGAUUCUAAGUUGAAUGGUGCUUUGUGACACCUGCAGCUGUUGUAAAAGUGCUCUACAAAUCAAUAAGUAUUGUAUGGAAACCAUCACACUGGUACUCCACCUAUGGCAAAAAGUGAUGGUAGGGAAAAAAUGAGCAAAGGUCAUUAUCAUCAUGCUGCUGAAGCUGGGUGACAGAACUGUGUUGCUAAUACAGCACAACCGAUGGUGAAAAGAAGUACAAGUUGUUGGCAUUGGCAUUAAAACUGAAGGUAAUUCUUUCUUCACACACUUUGCAUGAGAACAUAUGAGUCAUCCGUGCUUCCAUUUCAACACUGUUUGUUCUGCAAGGGGAAAUGAUGCACUGCGUGGAAAACAUUUUAUAAUGACGUGAGAUUCCGUUUUUCUGUUAAGGUGGCAAGAAUAUGCAUGGAUGAGAACUGGCCAGGACUUAAAGUGCUUUUCAAAAAAAAUAAAUUCAUACAAAUUUGUUUAGAUAUCAAAACUUAAGCAUUAGCUACCUU